CCUACGGGAGGCAGCAGUGAGGAAUAUUGGUCAAUGGGCGGAAGCCUGAACCAGCCAAGUCGCGUGAGGGAAUAAGGCCCUACGGGUCGUAAACCUCUUUUGCCGGGGAGCAAGGGCCGGGACGCGUCCCGGCCCGGAGGGUACACGGGGAAAAAGCAUGGGCUAACUCGGUGCCAGCGGCCGCGGUAAUACGGAGGAUGCGAGCGUUAUCGGGAUUUAUUGGGUUUAAAGGGUGCGUGGGCGGGCUUUUGAGUCAGCGGUAAAAAUUCGGGGCUCAACCCAGUCCGGCCGUUGAAACGGGUGGCCUUGAGUGGGCGAGAAGUAGGCGGAAUGCGUGGUGUAGCGGUGAAAUGCAUAGAUAUCACGCAGAACCCCGAUUGCGAAGGCAGCCUUCCGUAGCCCUACUGACGCUGAGGCACGAAAGUGCGGGGAUCGAACAGGAUUAGAUACCCGAGUAGUC
RNAcentral lists this ribosomal RNA (460 nucleotides) under uncultured bacterium. Its description in RNAcentral is "partial 16S ribosomal RNA". It matches the Rfam family "Bacterial small subunit ribosomal RNA", at positions 338 to 795 of the family's 1533-position model. The record is from RNAcentral.